AUUGAACGCUGGCGGCAGGCCUAACACAUGCAAGUCGAGCGGAUGAAGGGAGCUUGCUCCUGGAUUCAGCGGCGGACGGGUGAGUAAUGCCUAGGAAUCUGCCUGGUAGUGGGGGAUAACGUCCGGAAACGGGCGCUAAUACCGCAUACGUCCUGAGGGAGAAAGUGGGGGAUCUUCGGACCUCACGCUAUCAGAUGAGCCUAGGUCGGAUUAGCUAGUUGGUGGGGUAAAGGCCUACCAAGGCGACGAUCCGUAACUGGUCUGAGAGGAUGAUCAGUCAUACUGGAACUGAGACACGGUCAAGACUCCUACGGGAGGCAGCAGUGGGGAAUAUUGGACAAUGGGCGAAAGCCUGAUCCAGCGAGGCCGAGUGUGUGAAGAAGGUCUUCGGAGUGUAAAGCACGUUAAGCUGGGAGGAAGGGCAGUAAGUUAAGACCUUGCUGUUGUGACGUUACCAACAGAAUAAGCACCGGCUAACUUCGUG
Molecule: ribosomal RNA, 484 nt
Filed under: uncultured bacterium
Lineage: Bacteria
Description: partial 16S ribosomal RNA
Rfam family: Bacterial small subunit ribosomal RNA
Source: RNAcentral